GCGACCCCAGGGCAGGAGAACCUCCCUUAUGGG
This 33-nucleotide ribosomal RNA is filed under the name Musa barioensis. Its description in RNAcentral is "partial 26S ribosomal RNA". The record is from RNAcentral. Lineage: Eukaryota; Viridiplantae; Streptophyta; Magnoliopsida; Zingiberales; Musaceae.